RNAcentral lists this ribosomal RNA (876 nucleotides) under uncultured archaeon. RNAcentral's name for it is "bacterial SSU rRNA". It matches the Rfam family "Archaeal small subunit ribosomal RNA", at positions 31 to 913 of the family's 1478-position model. The record is from RNAcentral.
UAUCGGAUUGGUACUAAGCCAUGCGAGUCAUUGUAGCAAUACAAGGCAUACGGCUCAGUAACGCGUAGUCAACCUAACCUAUGGACGGGAAUAACCUCGGGAAACUGAGAAUAAUGCCCGAUAGAACAUUAUGCCUGGAAUGGUUUAUGUUCCAAAUGAUUUAUCGCCGUAGGAUGGGACUGCGGCCUAUCAGUUUGUUGGUGAGGUAAUGGCCCACCAAGACUAUUACAGGUACGGGCUCUGAGAGGAGUAGCCCGGAGAUGGGUACUGAGACACGGACCCAGGCCCUAUGGGGCGCAGCAGGCGAGAAAACUUUGCAAUGUGCGAAAGCACGACAAGGUUAAUCCGAGUGGUUUCUGCUAAAGGAACCUUUUGUCAGUCCUAGAAACACUGAUGAAUAAGGGGUGGGCAAGUUCUGGUGUCAGCCGCCGUGGUAAAACCAGCACCUCAAGUGGUCAGGAUGAUUAUUGGGCCUAAAGCAUCCGUAGCCGGCUCUGUAAGUUUUCGGUUAAAUCUGUACGCUCAACGUACAGGCUGCCGGGAAUACUGCAAAGCUAGGGAGUGGGAGAGGUAGACGGUACUCGGUAGGAAGGGGUAAAAUCCUUUGAUCUAUUGAUGACCACCUGUGGCGAAGGCGGUCUACCAGAACACGUCCGACGGUGAGGGAUGAAAGCUGGGGGAGCAAACCGGAUUAGAUACCCGGGUAGUCCCAGCUGUAAACCAUGCAAACUCAGUGAUGCAUUGGCUUGUGGCCAAUGCAGUGCUGCAGGGAAGCCGUUAAGUUUGCCGCCUGGGAAGUACGUACGCAAGUAUGAAACUUAAAGGAAUUGGCGGGGGAGCACCACAAGGGGUGAAGCCUGCGGUUCAAUUGGAUUC